This 400-nucleotide ribosomal RNA is filed under the name uncultured bacterium. RNAcentral describes it as "bacterial SSU rRNA". It matches the Rfam family "Bacterial small subunit ribosomal RNA", at positions 362 to 776 of the family's 1533-position model. The record is from RNAcentral.
UCUUGCGCAAUGGGCGAAAGCCUGACGCAGCGACGCCGCGUGACUGAUGAAGUCCUUCGGGAUGUAAAAGUCUUUUGCCAGGGAAGAAGGAUGUGACGGUACCUGGCGAAUAAGCCCCGGCUAACUACGUGCCAGCAGCCGCGGUAAUACGUAGGGGGCGAGCGUUGUCCGAAGUCACUGGGCGUAAAGCGCGCGUAGGCGGUCUUUUAAGUUGGAUGUGAAAUCCUGCGGCCCAACCGCAGAACUGCAUCCAAAACUGGGAGACUUGAGGAUGGAAGAGGGCAGUGGAAUUCCUGGUGUAGCGGUGAAAUGCGUAGAUAUCAGGAGGAACACCCGUGGCGAAGGCGGCUGCCUGGUCCAUAUCUGACGCUGAGGUGCGAAAGCCAGGGGAGCGAACGGG